CAUUGAUGUGAUGAUAUCUUGUUUCCGAAUUUACGAAUGUGGACUAUAAACAAUCAGACUACAAUUAUCUGAUCAAUG
Small nucleolar RNA from Arachis stenosperma, 78 nucleotides. RefSeq annotates it as small nucleolar RNA Z155. Lineage: Eukaryota; Viridiplantae; Streptophyta; Magnoliopsida; Fabales; Fabaceae. The transcript has a single exon. The record is from RefSeq and is a predicted model, not a curated record.